Symphalangus syndactylus (siamang) is the source of this 2474-nucleotide long non-coding RNA. RefSeq lists it as uncharacterized. The record is from RefSeq and is a predicted model, not a curated record. NCBI's taxonomy places the organism in Eukaryota, Metazoa, Chordata, Mammalia, Primates, Hylobatidae.
CAUCUGGUAUGGCAGCUGCAACUGGAGUUACCACCUAGUUAAACCUGUGAUAAUCCACUGUCAUUCUCCAAGAUUCACCUGUUUUUUGCACAGGCCAAAUAGGAGAGCAACAAGGAUGUAGUGGGAAUCAUCACCCCUGCAUAUUCCAAGUCCUCAGUGAUGGCACCUAUCUCUGCAAUCCCUCCAGGGAUGUGGUACUGCUUUUGAUUUACUAUUUUCCUAGGAACACCAUAAUGACCUCAUUAGUGCCACAGGUCUGCACAAGCCAGACUAUUCUGAUGGCUGCUUUGACUCUGCUGUCUAUUAUGGUUUUCCAACUGAGUGGCUGUGUUUCCCACUGUAAGAUCUAAUCAAAGUGAAGAGUGAUCAUGGAGCUCUCCAAGGAUGCUGGGGCUCCCCUCAUAAAUUUAUUUCUCAUAAUUUAUAAAAGUUACAUCUUCUGGAUACUCCCAGUGUGGGUCCUCAAUAGAUGUGUGAUACCUGCCCUCAUUGGUGAGGGCAAUCUUCUUUACUCCGUCUACUGAUUCCAAUGCUAAUGUCCUCUGAAAACACCCAGCAACAAUGUUUUAUCUGGUAUCUGAGCAUCCCUUAGCCCAGUCAAGUUGACACAUAAAAUUUACCAUGACAAGGACCAAGAGGUGUUUUCCCUCUGCCAAGGAUCAUGAUACCUGGAGUCCCUGAAUGACAGUUGUCUGGAACAACAAGCAAGAUCACUGACAGCCCCAGAACCACUUCCCUAGCUAUGAAAUUUUGUUAUAUCUGUAAGUAAGCAUAAAUAUUAACUAGUCAGUAAUGUUGAAUUUUGUUGAAUGUAUAAUUGGAGCUAGAUUUGGAGAAAACAUAUUCAACUCUAAUUUUGUUUCGACUAAAAUUUGACUGAUGAGUCUCUGCCUCUUUGUUUAAACCAUUCACUCUUCCUAUAGAACCCCGUGGCCCAUUGAAAUCCUCCCAUUUCCACCCAGCCAAGUUCUUAGACCUUUGAGUUCUCUUUUUUGUUAUUGUUCUUCAUCUCUUGGUGCAUGUGCUUUCUAAUAUUUUAAUUUUUUUCAAAAUACUACAUAUAUAUAGUUAUAAAAUUCAACUAAUAGCAUAAGACAUAAUAAAUUUAAAAAAAAAAAACAGCAGACUUCUGCCACACUACACCCAGAACUGCUGUGCUGGCAACUGCUGUCAAUUAUUUGUUUUUUCUCUUGAUACUUCCUUGAUAUUUAGAAAUGAUACAUUUGUUCUGCCCUUUCUUGAUUUUAGACAUUAGUCAUUGACUUCCUGCUAUGGAGAUAGAUAUUUGGCUGUCUUAUCCACUGUCCUCCACACUCUUUAGCCACUCAGCAACACACAGGCCUUUCUGCCCAUCCUGCCCGAGUAUGUUGUAACAUAGCUUUUUGCUAAACUGUAUUUAACAUUUAUGACAAUAAGUAUUCGCAUUUGAGCCAUGUAGAGUACAAUGAUUCAAUUUCCUUCCUAACAAUUCUUUGUUUUUCCUGUAGUUGAUAAUGUCUUUCACAGGGUGCUCUGGUCCUGCUGCCUCUAUUAAUCCCCAGUACAACAGAGUUGAGAGGUGGGAACUUUAAGAGCCCUCAUGAAUAGGUUAAUGCCAUUAUCUUGGGAGUGGGUUAGUUAUUGUGGGAGUGAGUUCCUAAUCAAAGGAUGGGUUCAGCCCCCUCCCCUCUCUCUCUGUCUCUCUCACACACACACACACACACACACACUCACUUUCUGAUCAUGUUAUGCCUUCCACUAUGUUAUGAUGCAGCAAAAAGGUCCUCACCAGAUGCAGCCCCUUGAUCUUGGACUUCCCAGUCUCCAGAACCACGAGACAAAUAAAAUUCUACUGUUUAUAAAUUACCCAAUCUGUGGGAUUCUGGCAUAGCAGCACAAAAUAGACUAAGACAUGUACCUUUCUGGAACCGUGUUAUUCAGGGGUUGGAGUUCCUGGGCUGAUUCUUUAAUGGCCUUAUCUUUUCUCUUUUAUUUUCAUCUGUUUGUCUUUAGUUCUACUUUCUGAGAGAGUUUCUCCAUUUGAUUUUACAACACUUCCAUUGAAUUUUAGAAGUUUUCUGCUUUUUAUGUAUGUAUUUAUUGUUACUAGGGCUCUUUCUUACUCUCUGACUUUUCAGUUUUUCUUAUUCUGGCACCCUGUUUCUGUUUUUAAGUGAAAAUCUUUUUAUAUGUCUCGAAGAAUAUUAAGUUUGAGGGAUUUUAUUUAAUUUUCUCCUGCUCCCUGUAUUAUCUCUUUUCUUCCAAGUUUCUUUUUUUCCCCUGAUUCAUUUGGUUUGGAGAUUGUCUUUCAUGUUAGAGGCUUUCCCCAAAUAUCUUGUGAUCCUGUCUGCCCACUUAUAUUUCCAAAUAAGUCGUUAACUACUUGAUUGGAAGCUUUGUGUGUAAUGGGUGAUAUUUGUCAAUCCUGUGAAUGAACUAGGAAAUGAGCUAAUCAAUUGAGAGUAAGAAAAAAGAAAGAGAAGCUCAAAGUUUCU